This 2394-nucleotide long non-coding RNA is filed under the name Homo sapiens (human). RNAcentral's name for it is "PREDICTED lncRNA (TCONS_00013683)". Lineage: Eukaryota; Metazoa; Chordata; Mammalia; Primates; Hominidae. The record is from RNAcentral.
CUCCCACCCACUCCUGCCCGUCCGUCUUCUGCCAUGGGAUGAUGCAGUAAGAAGGCCCUCGCCAGAUGCUGGCGCCUUGAUCUUGGACUUCUCAGCCUUCAGAACUAGAACACCACCACUAAUGGGAAGACUGCCCCCUGACCGGCACAUGGCCUCAGCAUUCAUCCACAGAUGCUCCUCAAAUUGUUUUAAAAACAGCUUUUUUUAAAAGCUGUUUGUCUAUGAAGAUUAAAUGAGUUAAUAAUAUAAGCAAAGCACUUUGCAUGGCUACUGGGCACGGUGGUUCAUGCCUGUAAUUCCAGCACUUUGGGAGGCCGAAGCAGGUGGAUCACCUGAGGUCAGGAGUUCAAGACCAGCCUGAUCAACAUGGCGAAACCCUGUCUCUAUUAAAAAUACAAAAAAAAUAGCCGGGCAUGGUGGCACGUGCCUGUAAUCCCAGCUACUUGGGAGGCUAAGGCAGGAGAAUCGCUUGAACCUGGGAGGCAGAGGUUGCAGUGAGCCGAGACCUCGCCGUUGCACUCCAGCCUGGUUGACAGAGCAAGACUCUGUCUCAAAAAACAAAAAAACCCCAGCUUUUGUCCAGAGGUUGCUUUUUGUGGGUCUGUACGCUGAGGCCAAGUUCUAUGUAAGCAGAGCCCUCCCACCUCACCUCCAAACAAUGCCUCUAAACCAUCACAAUCUGAAAGGAAAAUAAAUCCCUUUCUUCAAUGGUGACCUGAAGCUAGCCAAGGACCGGGUGCUGGCAGGUGGCCUGCGAGACUGGGUCGGAUCCCGGGUUACUGUCUGAGGAGGGAUGCCGUGCUGUAAGGGUUGGGGAGCCAGUGUCUGGCUUCCUUGUCACCACAAGACCUGUGGUUUCCAGCUCUGUCUGCAUCCAGGUCCCACUAACCAACAGCAGGAGAGAAAACAGUUGUGCACACAGGCGGACGCGCACACGCGCACCUGGCCCCCCAGACGUGCACAGCCCUCAGAGGAAGUGGAGCACCAGAUGUUCUGGGUUUCCUGUUCGACGCUUCCACAGCUGGUCGAGUCUGUGGUUGUGGUUUGUCUGUCUCGGGCUCAUGUGAGAGACAAAAGCUGGGCUGACGGGAAACCUCUUCUCUCGGCCCCCACUCCCCAGCUCUGACUGAUUAGGAAACCUGGCAGGUCAGAAAUUUCCUGAAACACCCAGAGCUGGAUUCUCCCAAGAAGAAGCUGAACCCCCAACUCCCAUCCCUGAGGAGCAGCCCCUGGGCUGAUGAUCAGGACUUACAGAACCUGGGGCGAUGGAAACCUCUACAAAUAUCCCAUUUAGAAAGACCGCCAGCCCUGCCAACAGAAUGAAACGGAGGCCAGGUUGCUAUGGUCUCUACUCCAAUGCCUGACAUUGAGCCGCUGCUGCAAAACACUCAGCACAUGAAGGAAUGAAUGAGGAACAGAGAACUUCACCUUUGGGGGUUGGGUGUACAAGCCCCAACUGGGCCCCAAGUCCCAUAAAUAGCUUUGGAUUCCAACAUACAAGCAUUUGACGCAGCGAGGUGCUGCCGACUUGCUCUGUGACUUGGAGCAAGUCAUUUAGCCUCUCUGGGCCUGGUGUCCUCAUCUGCAGAAUGGAGAUGAUAAUAUCUACUUCACAAAGGUGUGAAGGCCCUGUGAGACACCGCAUGUGGAUUUCCUCGACAUUGUUUGCCCAUCGUAACUGCUCCAGAGAGGCUGGGCUCCCUUUUCUCGUUGCAACACUGCUGUUUAUUUCAGGAGAUACUCUAAAAGGGAAGCAAGCUAAAACAAAGAACAACCAAAAACACUGAUCCCGGGACAACUGCCCGGCAGGACAGCAGAGCAAGGGUACUUGGUGCUCUUCGUUGGGGGGAUGUUGGGAGAAGGGGCUGGAGCCAUCCCAGGGUCUCCAGGCUCUGGAAGGGAGCACCCCAUGUCCUCCUCUGGGUGUGGAAUAGGGUGAGUGUCUUAGGGGUGGAGAGAGAACAGGCAGAGUGUGCUCUCACCCCUUAGCUCUGUAGUGAUUUUAAUGAUUAAGGCUACUGUUCGGUCUGCAUUUGGACCUGAGCAACAGGGACCCCUGCCCAGAGGUCCAUCCUUCAGCAGCGUGCACUGCAUCCCCCUCCACUGCAGCUGACUCUAUGAGAUGAAGCAUCUGUCGCUCAGUGUAGCCAUCAGGUCCACUGCCCCUGAAAUAUGACUGACUAGGUUCAAAUGUUGACUCUGACACUUAGAAGCUGUGCCACCUUGGGGCAAGUUACUUCAUCUCUCUGUGCCUUACUUUCUUCCUUUAUAAAAUGGGUAAAAUAAUAACCACACCAUCGGUUGUCUAUGAAGAUUAAAUGAGUUGAUAAUAUAUGCAAAGCACUUAGCAUGGCUACUGGCACAAGGGUCAGUAAACGUUAACUGUUCCACACA